ACGCUGGCGGCAGGCCUAACACAUGCAAGUCGAGCGGUAGAGAGGAGCUUGCUUCUCUUGAGAGCGGCGGACGGGUGAGUAAUGCCUAGGAAUCUGCCUGGUAGUGGGGGAUAACGUUCGGAAACGGACGCUAAUACCGCAUACGUCCUACGGGAGAAAGCAGGGGACCUUCGGGCCUUGCGCUAUCAGAUGAGCCUAGGUCGGAUUAGCUAGUUGGUGGGGUAAUGGCUCACCAAGGCGACGAUCCGUAACUGGUCUGAGAGGAUGAUCAGUCACACUGGAACUGAGACACGGUCCAGACUCCUACGGGAGGCAGCAGUGGGGAAUAUUGGACAAUGGGCGAAAGCCUGAUCCAGCCAUGCCGCGUGUGUGAAGAAGGUCUUCGGAUUGUAAAGCACUUUAAGUUGGGAGGAAGGGUUGUAGAUUAAUACUCUGCAAUUUUGACGUUACCGACAGAAUAAGCACCGGCUAACUCUGUGCCAGCAGCCGCGGUAAUACAGAGGGUGCAAGCGUUAAUCGGAAUUACUGGGCGUAAAGCGCGCGUAGGUGGUUAGUUAAGUUGGAUGUGAAAUCUCCGGGCUCAACCUGGGAACUGCAUUCAAAACUGACUGACUAGAGUAUGGUAGAGGGUGGUGGAAUUUCCUGUGUAGCGGUGAAAUGCGUAGAUAUAGGAAGGAACACCAGUGGCGAAGGCGACCACCUGGACUGAUACUGACACUGAGGUGCGAAAGCGUGGGGAGCAAACAGGAUUAGAUACCC
RNAcentral lists this ribosomal RNA (759 nucleotides) under uncultured bacterium. Its description in RNAcentral is "bacterial SSU rRNA". It matches the Rfam family "Bacterial small subunit ribosomal RNA", at positions 33 to 787 of the family's 1533-position model. The record is from RNAcentral.